GUUUGCUGCUUCAUUGCAAUGAUCGUGUAUUCUUUCUUUUUUAGAUCCAAUUCUAAGCCUCCUUGGGGGAUUAAAAAGCAAAUCUGAAGAGGGAAUUGACCCACCAUUCCAAGCUGUCACCAAUUCAAGAGUCCUGGAUGAGGCGCAACAAGCGUUAAGAGAAAACACAAACGCCCUCAAUCGCAACACCAGAGCAAUUGAAAACUUUACAACGCAUGUGAAGCUUCUCACAGAGAGCAUUGGGUUUCUCAAUGCCUUCAUCAUGUCAGGUAAUUGUGGUGUAAUUGUCAUAAUGCAUUAGGAAAUAUCAGAAAUCAAUGUUUUAUGGUUGUACAUUACUAUACAUUUAUAAUAGUGUUUAAACACAUCGGUAAUAUCAAGCAAAGCAGGGGUACAGAAAGUGUUCCAGUGUAAGCUUUCACCAGCGAAACAGAAAUUUAUUGAAUGCAUUUUUACGCAAUGCGAUUGGAGUAAAUUUAGCAGGAAAUUUCUAUGGUUGGGGUAAAAUUUAAGAACCAAAAUUAAGUGCAGCCCAGAACAUAAUUUAACACAAGU
This 555-nucleotide long non-coding RNA is filed under the name Bemisia tabaci. Its description in RNAcentral is "lncRNA ENSSSA1NGG010628". Lineage: Eukaryota; Metazoa; Arthropoda; Insecta; Hemiptera; Aleyrodidae. The record is from RNAcentral.